Psammomys obesus (fat sand rat) is the source of this 726-nucleotide long non-coding RNA. RefSeq lists it as uncharacterized. The record is from RefSeq and is a predicted model, not a curated record. NCBI's taxonomy places the organism in Eukaryota, Metazoa, Chordata, Mammalia, Rodentia, Muridae. The transcript is spliced from 3 exons.
UCCCUAACGGCACAACAGGAAGGACAAACUGCUAGCAAAUCUCACCUAUGGAACCCAUUCUACCCUGUGUUGCUGGGGAAACCACAGAGGUGACUGGGUCCCUUGGUUAAGAGCCAAGGUGAUAGGAUCUGUGGCCUCUUGGUAGGACUUGGAGGCUUCCCUAACCAUUGGCAGAUUUUUCUCCCUGGGGAAGCUCUGAAGUCUCACAGGAGGUUUCCCCUGGAGUCUUGGCUGUGUGGAGUAACUUGAGAAAACCACAGAAUUCUGCAGAGUUGCGUCAUCAAUAGGGUCUUGGAGUUAACUUGCCAGUGCCAUGAGUUCCUCCAUCUCACAGUACUGCUGAGUGCCUCCUCUGGCUCUCCUUACAGUGGCCAUUUUGGUAUCAAUCCCUGGUUCAAGCUGAUUUCUGACACUGGAAAAACAAACCUAAAAGCAAUUUAGAAAACACCUGCCCGUGAAGUCAGAUGGCAAAGUAUCUAAAGCUUCUCUCGAAAUCUGUGACCUCAGAGGCUGACAUGGUUUGAUGGGAAAUUUAAUGUAAUAGGCUGCGAAAGCCAAGAGGCCUGUUGUCAGCAAUGAAGUCUGAAAGUUAGCAGAAUUAAUAACGCUGUACAAUGGAAGAGCCCUCAAGGGACAAGGCUGCAGAACCAGGGCAGUGGGGAAAAAUGACUUUUGAAGUCAUUUCACUAUGACAUUCUGUCAUCACUGCUAAACGGAAAUAAAAAA